Molecule: non-coding RNA, 794 nt
Organism: Dermacentor andersoni
Lineage: Eukaryota; Metazoa; Arthropoda; Arachnida; Ixodida; Ixodidae
Source: RefSeq, a predicted model, not a curated record
GGCACGGAUUCAUUCGUUCGUACACUCAAGACUGGUUGCUUCUUUGUUUCUAAAACUAGUUUCUUGCGCUUCGAUGUCUCGCGUUAUUUAACUUGGGGUGAAGUUACGUGUUUGCAAGCGGACAUGUAAGCCCGGCAGUUGGGUUUCGGUCGUGAGCCAUUCGGAACAGGUCUGCAUCGAAACGGGAGCUGGAUUUUGCUGCGGCUGACAACGGCAAUAACGACAUGCAGUAAUGAGGACGGCACCAGUAUAAAGCAACACACUCCACGCACUAAACAGAAGCUGCUGCCUGCUACAACAAGGUCAUUGUGUGGACAUUGGCUACUACUACAAGAGUCUAUGCCAAGCACAUCUUGGUCAUCACAGGAGCUCCUAUCUGCGCCAAUAGGAAGGGGCUGGAGCCGAAUUUGCAAGGCUUUUACACCAAGAACAAAGAAGCACAUGCAGAAGAAUAUGAAUGAGAUAUCAAGUCUGCAGAGGACUGUGUCAAGACUGAAAAGAGCUUCAGCCACCAUUCCACCAGCACGGACAUUUGGCUGAGUCAUCCAGGUAACUCAAAAAGGACUUUCCAGAAAUUCUUCGUCUUCAGAUGCACCUGCAACAUCUGACCAAGCACGGACGACGCUGGCCAAAAGAUUGAGUUCCAUCAGUUUGCCCUUAAUCAGCUUCCUAGCCAUGUUAAUUCCGUUUGUGCCAAGUGUAAUUUUUCUUCUAUAAAUGCAAGCUUUCUCAUUGCCCAUUUUUGUUAGAGGUCAUUCGUCCUCAUCCAAAUAUAAAGGUCAACCGAUUCUUCG